GGAACAGGAGUCGGCCGGACCGCCGACAGGACACGUGGAGCAGGAGUCGGCCGGACCGCCGACAGGACACGUGGAGCAGGAGUCGACCGGACCUCCGCCAGGACGCUUGGAGUAGAGGUCGGCCGGACCUCCGACAGGACGCUUGGAGCAGAGGUCGACCGGACCUCCGACAGGACACUUGGAGCAGAGGUCGGCCGGACCUCCGACAGGACGCUUGGAGCAGAGGUCGACCGGACCUCCGACAGGACGCUUGGAGAAGAGGUAGGCUGAACCCCCGACACAGGAGCAGGCCUGGAUUCGGCUGAGACACUGGGCAGCCUAGAUCUUCUUCUCCGAUAUCCAUGCCUCGCUCCAGGGACUCCAGCUCCCAGACGGCAAUCCUGCAGGAAGCCAACAGGCCGGGGCUGAGGCUGAUGCUCGGGCCGAAUCCGGAUGCCCAAAAAGGCAUAAAAGCUCUCUGCUGGGGUCAUUAUGGUUGGUUCGUUCUGUCGUGAUCUGUUUACAACGUUGACCCAAACGCAGAGUAACAAGCAGGAACGGAAGUUUUUAAAUAAAAGCGAGCUUUAUUUAAAGCUGACAAAAUCCA
Sebastes umbrosus (honeycomb rockfish) is the source of this 586-nucleotide long non-coding RNA. RefSeq lists it as uncharacterized. The transcript is spliced from 2 exons. NCBI's taxonomy places the organism in Eukaryota, Metazoa, Chordata, Actinopteri, Perciformes, Sebastidae. The record is from RefSeq and is a predicted model, not a curated record.